Molecule: transfer RNA, 67 nt
Filed under: Pachyphlegyas modiglianii
Lineage: Eukaryota; Metazoa; Arthropoda; Insecta; Hemiptera; Pachygronthidae
Description: tRNA-Tyr
Rfam family: tRNA
About the family: Transfer RNA (tRNA) molecules are approximately 80 nucleotides in length. Their secondary structure includes four short double-helical elements and three loops (D, anti-codon, and T loops).
Source: RNAcentral
GAUAAGGUGGCUGAAGAUUUAAGCUAUAAAUUGUAAAUUUAUAUAUGGUAUGUAAUACCCCUUAUCA